GGCUGGUCGAUAGAAAAGUUGAGCUAAUUAUGGAUAUGAUGUGCAGCUCUACAAAGUGGAAAAAAAAAUGGAAGUGCUUUUUAAUGUAAAAUUAGUUGUAUAUACAGUGAAAUCUCUUUAAUUUGAUUAGCCAACAUGUGAAAUUUGUGCACCCAUAAAUGAUAUGUCUUAGAAAAGACUUGGAUCCAUCAACGAAAUGGUUUGUUUUGACUUAUAUAGAGCUAUGAAUAUCUCAAAUCCUUUGCAUAGCCAAAUUAUGUGCUUAUAACAACCC
RNAcentral lists this long non-coding RNA (274 nucleotides) under Elaeis guineensis (African oil palm). RNAcentral's name for it is "long non-coding RNA (EGUI_LNC004911)". Lineage: Eukaryota; Viridiplantae; Streptophyta; Magnoliopsida; Arecales; Arecaceae. The record is from RNAcentral.